This 506-nucleotide ribosomal RNA is filed under the name uncultured bacterium. Its description in RNAcentral is "bacterial SSU rRNA". It matches the Rfam family "Bacterial small subunit ribosomal RNA", at positions 9 to 526 of the family's 1533-position model. The record is from RNAcentral.
GAGUUUGAUCCUGGCUCAGGACGAACGCUGGCGGCGCGCCUAACACAUGCAAGUCGAACGGAGCUGAGAGGAGCUUGCUUUUCUUAGCUUAGUGGCGAACGGGUGAGUAACGCGUGAGUAACCUGCCCUGGAGUGGGGGACAACAGUUGGAAACGACUGCUAAUACCGCAUAAGCCCACGAUCCGGCAUCGGAUUGAGGGAAAAGGAUUUAUUCGCUUCAGGAUGGACUCGCGUCCAAUUAGCUAGUUGGUGAGGUAACGGCCCACCAAGGCGACGAUUGGUAGCCGGACUGAGAGGUUGAACGGCCACAUUGGGACUGAGACACGGCCCAGACUCCUACGGGAGGCAGCAGUGGGGGAUAUUGCACAAUGGGGGAAACCCUGAUGCAGCGACGCCGCGUGGAGGAAGAAGGUUUUCGGAUUGUAAACUCCUGUCGUUAGGGACGAUAAUGACGGUACCUAACAAGAAAGCACCGGCUAACUACGUGCCAGCCGCCGCGGUAAUAC